UCUUGGUCAUUUAGAGGAAGUAAAAGUCGUAACAAGGUCUCCGUUGGUGAACCAGCGGAGGGAUCAUUACCGAGUUUACAACUCCCAAACCCCUGUGAACAUACCAAUUGUUGCCUCGGCGGAUCAGCCCGCUCCCGGUAAAACGGGACGGCCCGCCAGAGGACCCCUAAACUCUGUUUCUAUAUGUAACUUCUGAGUAAAACCAUAAAUAAAUCAAAACUUUCAACAACGGAUCUCUUGGUUCUGGCAUCGAUGAAGAACGCAGCAAAAUGCGAUAAGUAAUGUGAAUUGCAGAAUUCAGUGAAUCAUCGAAUCUUUGAACGCACAUUGCGCCCGCCAGUAUUCUGGCGGGCAUGCCUGUUCGAGCGUCAUUUCAACCCUCAAGCCCUCGGGUUUGGUGUUGGGGAUCGGCGAGCCCUUGCGGCAAGCCGGCCCCGAAAUCUAGUGGCGGUCUCGCUGCAGCUUCCAUUGCGUAGUAGUAAAACCCUCGCAACUGGUACGCGGCGCGGCCAAGCCGUUAAACCCCCAACUUCUGAAUGUGACCUCGGAUCAGGUAUAGUUGUAACGGGUGUUU
This 574-nucleotide ribosomal RNA is filed under the name Fusarium sp. 1893. Its description in RNAcentral is "eukaryotic LSU rRNA". The stretch from base 218 to 371 matches the Rfam family "5.8S ribosomal RNA". Lineage: Eukaryota; Fungi; Ascomycota; Sordariomycetes; Hypocreales; Nectriaceae. The record is from RNAcentral.